RNAcentral lists this transfer RNA (73 nucleotides) under archaeon. RNAcentral's name for it is "tRNA-His". It matches the Rfam family "tRNA". From Rfam's summary of the family: Transfer RNA (tRNA) molecules are approximately 80 nucleotides in length. RNAcentral also lists the same sequence under 4 other names. The record is from RNAcentral.
GCCGAAAUGAGGUAGUCUGGUAGCCUAUAGCCCUGUGGAGGCUAGCGCCCGGGUUCAAAUCCCGGUUUCGGCC